RNAcentral lists this non-coding RNA (42 nucleotides) under Durinskia baltica. The record is from RNAcentral. Lineage: Eukaryota; Dinophyceae; Peridiniales; Kryptoperidiniaceae.
CGGAAUGCAGCAGCGAUCGGGAAGAGACUGUGGGUUCGCUGG